Molecule: signal recognition particle RNA, 301 nt
Filed under: Bursaphelenchus xylophilus (pine wood nematode)
Lineage: Eukaryota; Metazoa; Nematoda; Chromadorea; Rhabditida; Aphelenchoididae
Description: Metazoan signal recognition particle RNA
Rfam family: Metazoan signal recognition particle RNA
About the family: The signal recognition particle (SRP) is a universally conserved ribonucleoprotein. It is involved in the co-translational targeting of proteins to membranes. The eukaryotic SRP consists of a 300-nucleotide 7S RNA and six proteins: SRPs 72, 68, 54, 19, 14, and 9.
Source: Rfam by way of RNAcentral
GCCGGGCGUCGUGGCGGGCGCUUGUAAACCAAGUUUCUGGGUGGCUGAGUUCGGCGGCGCGGUGCGGUGGCGGGUCAACGGUCCUGUCGCGGUGCUGCUGUAGACCGAGUGUCCGUAUCAAGGGCGGCGUCGACAAGGGAUGGCGGCCGAAGGGCUGCGAUUGCUGGUCGGUUAAAGAGAGAAGCACCGGCCCAGGCCCCACAGGGAGCAAGCCAAAUUCUCCGCGCCGUUACAGUGAACGGAUGGCGCUCGCGAGGCACACUCGGCAGGCUGCCGUCACGGUGUCGUCACUCGAAUUUUU